CUGGUAACUAUAGCGGAGAGGUCACACCCGUUCCCAUCCCGAACACGGCAGUUAAGCUCUCCUGCGCCGAUGGUACUGCAUUAAUUUGUGGGAGAGUAGGUCGUUGCCAGGA
Molecule: ribosomal RNA, 112 nt
Filed under: Syntrophomonadaceae bacterium
Lineage: Bacteria; Bacillati; Bacillota; Clostridia; Eubacteriales; Syntrophomonadaceae
Source: RNAcentral